This 441-nucleotide ribosomal RNA is filed under the name uncultured bacterium. Its description in RNAcentral is "partial 16S ribosomal RNA". It matches the Rfam family "Bacterial small subunit ribosomal RNA", at positions 338 to 795 of the family's 1533-position model. The record is from RNAcentral.
CCUACGGGUGGCAGCAGUGGGGGAUAUUGCACAAUGGGGGGAACCCUGAUGCAGCGACGCCGCGUGGGUGAAGGAGUAUUUCGGUAUGUAAAGCCCUAUCGGCAGGGAAGAAAUUGGACGGUACCGGACGAAGAAGCACCGGCUAACUACGUGACAGAAGCCGCGGUAAUACGUAGGGGGCAAGCGUUAUCCGGAUCGACUGGGUGGAAAGGGAGCGUAGACGGCAAGGCCAGCCAGGGGUGAAAGCCCGGGGCCGAACCCCGGCACUGCCCUUGGAACUGCCUGGCGUGAGUGCGGGAGGGGCAGGCGGAAUUGCUGGUGUAGCGGUGAAAUGCGUAGCUAUCAGGAGGAACCCCGGCGGCGAAGGCGGCCUGCUGGACCGCGACUGACGUUGAGGCUCGAAAGCGUGGGGAUCGAACAGGAUUAGAUACCCGAGUAGUC